AAGUAGACAGCAUGAAUUCGGGAAUUGGUAGUGUGUAUAUAUAUAUAUAUAUAUAUAUAUAUAUAUAUAUAUACACACUACCAAUUCCCGAAUUCAUGCUGUCUACUU
This 108-nucleotide microRNA precursor is filed under the name Olea europaea subsp. europaea. Lineage: Eukaryota; Viridiplantae; Streptophyta; Magnoliopsida; Lamiales; Oleaceae. The record is from RNAcentral.